GUGUCAGCCGCCGCGGUAAUACGUAGGGGGCUAGCGUUGUCCGGAAUCAUUGGGCGUAAAGCGCGCGUAGGCGGCCCGACAAGUCCGCUGUAAAAGUCAACGGCUCAACCGUUGAACGCCGGUGGAUACUGUCGGGCUAGAGUCCGGAAGAGGCGAGUGGAAUUCCUGGUGUAGCGGUGGAAUGCGCAGAUAUCAGGAGGAACACCAAUAGCGAAGGCAGCUCGCUGGGACGGUACUGACGCUGAGGCGCGAAAGCGUGGGGAGCGAACAGGAUUAGAAACCCCCGUAGUCC
RNAcentral lists this ribosomal RNA (292 nucleotides) under uncultured bacterium. Its description in RNAcentral is "partial 16S ribosomal RNA". It matches the Rfam family "Bacterial small subunit ribosomal RNA", at positions 505 to 796 of the family's 1533-position model. The record is from RNAcentral.